Molecule: long non-coding RNA, 386 nt
Filed under: Drosophila guanche
Lineage: Eukaryota; Metazoa; Arthropoda; Insecta; Diptera; Drosophilidae
Source: RNAcentral
UGCAUGGAGCUGCAACGCGUUUCGCGGGUUGCAAGUUUAAAUAUACAUAGUUUAAACCCAAUAACCUUAAUUUUAACUUUUUAUUAGAUGCUGCGCAUAUAAUUUUCAAGUGUAACCGGUAUAGGAUGUCCCUUAAGCAGAAACAGCUCCAAGUCCUCCAGCACAAGUGGACAAAGUUUGGUCUCUUCGGCAAAGGAAAAGGCUCUGCCGCUCACGUGAUUCGCACCAAUCCCAAUGCAUUGCAAAGUUCCGUUUUGCUGGUAUGCGUGUGUGCGUGCCGAGCCCUGGUCUACACAGAGGCAUCUGCUUGGCAGGAAGUAGCAGAGCUGGUGGUACUUUUAUCGCUGGUAUCAAAUUACAAUUAACUCACAUUUUUAAUUUUUUUU